GCCAGGUGUGGUGGUGGGCACCUGUAAUCCCAGCUACUCGGGAGGCUGAGGCAGGAGAAUUGCUUGAACCCAGGAGGUGGAGUGUGCAGUGAGCCGAGGUCGUGCCACUGUACUCCAGCCUGGGUGACACAGCAAGACCCUGUCUCGG
Unclassified non-coding RNA from Macaca fascicularis (crab-eating macaque), 148 nucleotides. It matches the Rfam family "Metazoan signal recognition particle RNA". From Rfam's summary of the family: The signal recognition particle (SRP) is a universally conserved ribonucleoprotein. It is involved in the co-translational targeting of proteins to membranes. The eukaryotic SRP consists of a 300-nucleotide 7S RNA and six proteins: SRPs 72, 68, 54, 19, 14, and 9. Lineage: Eukaryota; Metazoa; Chordata; Mammalia; Primates; Cercopithecidae. The record is from Ensembl.